GGAAAUGUGCCCGAAGCACAAGGAUCACUUUGAUAGAGUGAACAAUAGGGAUUAAAUCCCCUCAUCUCCU
RNAcentral lists this transfer RNA (70 nucleotides) under Leiopelma archeyi (Coromandel frog). Its description in RNAcentral is "tRNA-Ile". The record is from RNAcentral. Lineage: Eukaryota; Metazoa; Chordata; Amphibia; Anura; Leiopelmatidae.